This 301-nucleotide ribosomal RNA is filed under the name uncultured bacterium. Its description in RNAcentral is "partial 16S ribosomal RNA". It matches the Rfam family "Bacterial small subunit ribosomal RNA", at positions 509 to 807 of the family's 1533-position model. The record is from RNAcentral.
CAGUCGCCGCGGGAACACGUAGGUGGCAAGCGUUGUCCGGAAUUAUUGGGCGUAAAGGGCUCGCGGGCGGUUUCUUAAGUCUGAUGUGAAAGCCCCCGGCUCAACCGGGGAGGGUCAUUGGAAACUGGGAAACUUGAGUGCGGAAGAGGAGAGUGGAAUUCCACGUGUAGCGGUGAAAUGCGUAGAGAUGUGGAGGAACACCAGUGGCGAAGGCGACUCUCUGGUCUGUAACUGACGCUGAGGAGCGAAAGCGUGGGGAGCGAACAGGAUUAGAUACCCCUGUAGUCCCUGUCUCUUAUAC